Molecule: long non-coding RNA, 1340 nt
Filed under: Marmota monax (woodchuck)
Lineage: Eukaryota; Metazoa; Chordata; Mammalia; Rodentia; Sciuridae
Source: RNAcentral
UCGGGGGCCACGGCUCAGACGCCAUGGUAAGCGUGACCGACUGCCCAAGGCGCCGCCGGGACAACACCCAGGCCCGCGAGUCGCGGGCUUUACCUGGCUUCAGUACAGUGGGACCUGGAUGCGCGGGGAAGGUGGACGCUUUUCAUAUCGCUGAGGAAGCAGCCAGAAACUCUUCACCUUUCUGGUUUAUUUUUUCCCCUUGUUUAUCGUAUUUUAUUUGCCCGCGUUUGAAAUGUCUUGGUUUUACUUUUUUUGAUUCACGUUUUCCUGGAAAGGAGAGAGUGCUUAUUAUUCAAUAAGUGCAAAAGAGUUCUAUAGGGUCCCCACCAAGGAAACCCGAGAAAACAGUGCUGACAGCUUCCCCGCGGUGAACUUGAUAGGAUUUGAAGUGACAGAGACCAGGAAGUCCGGUGCUGGGAGUCUGGAGUGGUGAUCCUGCCCCUGCCACAACUUUGCUGUGUACCUUGGAGAAGACCCAAACUUCUCUGUGCCUUUUGGGACUAUGAAACGAAGGGGUCACAGUUGGAAUGAGAAACUAAGCACCGAAAAAUACUCUAGGCACAUAGGAGAACACUCGUGAAAUUACUGUACUUAGAAACUUGGUUAGGAAGGAUUUGUCACUGUAAGGAGUUAUGCAAAAUAUUGAAGGACUUUUUCCCCUUAAUGAGAAUGUCAGAGGGACCCCUCUCCCUAUCCCAGCGCCCCCACCUCCCAGCUGUCUCUAGUGGUGUUCCUAAAUAUAAAGGUUCUGAGCAGGAUUUUGUUUGGGGGAUUUUUCCUCCUUCUGCAGUUCUGGGAUUCCAUCCCUGGGACUUGUGGCAUAUUAGGCAAGCACUCUACCUCUGAGUACAUCCUCAGCCUCUGAGAAGGGUCUUCACAGGGAUUGUGCCCCACUGGAUCCACUUUGCUCCUCUGGUGAGAUGGCCAUACUAGGAAAAAGUUGACUCCAUAUGUAGGAAAUGUAAAAAAACUUACCCCAAAGUGAGAAAUAACCAAAAUUAGGAAAAUGUUUCCUUGUAGGGGUGAAGAGGAAAUGGGGUGAGGAAAGGUACCCAAGGACUCGUUAUUCACACUGUGAUGUUUUACUUUCCAAGAUGGGUAGAUGGCAGAUUGGUGGUCUUUACAUUUUUCUCUGCUCUUUAUGAACCUGAAAUUCUUUGUAAAAGAAUUUUCUAAUAGUCCUCUCAAAACAUGCUAAAUAAUGUUAUUAAAUGCAAAAAAAAAGUAUCCCUUAUUCUGGCAUUAGCAUCUUACUGCUUUUCAAAAUUCCUACAAGUCCUUUCACAAAUGAUAUUAUGAUAAAUGACUUUUUGUAAAUCCAGUUGAUGAUCCUUUGUGGA